GGGGAAUAUUGGACAAUGGGCGAAAGCCUGAUCCAGCAAUGCCGCGUGUGUGAAGAAGGUCUUCGGAUUGUAAAGCACUUUCGGCGGGGACGAUGAUGACGGUACCCGCAGAAGAAGCCCCGGCUAACUUCGUGCCAGCAGCCGCGGUAAUACGAAGGGGGCUAGCGUUGCUCGGAAUGACUGGGCGUAAAGGGCGCGUAGGCGGUUCUGCAGGUUAGAUGUGAAAUUCCUGGGCUUAACCUGGGGGCUGCAUUUGAUACGUGCUGGCUUGAGUGGGGAAGAGGGUCGUGGAAUUCCCAGUGUAGAGGUGAAAUUCGUAGAUAUUGGGAAGAACACCGGUGGCGAAGGCGGCGACCUGGUCCUUGACUGAUGCUGAGGCGCGAAAGCGUGGGGAGCAAACA
RNAcentral lists this ribosomal RNA (401 nucleotides) under uncultured bacterium. Its description in RNAcentral is "bacterial SSU rRNA". It matches the Rfam family "Bacterial small subunit ribosomal RNA", at positions 356 to 774 of the family's 1533-position model. The record is from RNAcentral.